GAAGACGUGGCAGGGCCGUUAGUCACGUCAACAAAAACUUGACGCCAUCCAUUUUUAAGAACUAAAGAUACAUAUUUCAAUAGUAAGAGGAUGAAAUGUCGUCAAUGUUCUGAGGAGGGACUAAAACCAAAAAUAACUGAUACUUUAGAGACUAAAAGCAUAUUUAACCCAUUUUUUUAUUUUUUUUAUUUUUUUAUUUUAUUUAUUUAUUUUUUCCUUUCUUUUCGGUUUUUAGUUUGCUCGUUUUAUACUUUGGUCUUCAGUUUUUCUUAUUCCCAAUUGUAUUGAUGAACCGAGUAAAGGAAUUAGUC
RNAcentral lists this long non-coding RNA (311 nucleotides) under Vigna radiata. RNAcentral's name for it is "long non-coding RNA (VRAD_LNC015532)". Lineage: Eukaryota; Viridiplantae; Streptophyta; Magnoliopsida; Fabales; Fabaceae. The record is from RNAcentral.